GCGGCGGACGGGUGAGUAACACGUGGGUAACCUGCCUGUAAGACUGGGAUAACUCCGGGAAACCGGGGCUAAUACCGGAUGCUUGUUUGAACCGCAUGGUUCAAACAUAAAAGGUGGCUUCGGCUACCACUUACAGAUGGACCCGCGGCGCAUUAGCUAGUUGGUGAGGUAACGGCUCACCAAGGCAACGAUGCGUAGCCGACCUGAGAGGGUGAUCGGCCACACUGGGACUGAGACACGGCCCAGACUCCUACGGGAGGCAGCAGUAGGGAAUCUUCCGCAAUGGACGAAAGUCUGACGGAGCAACGCCGCGUGAGUGAUGAAGGUUUUCGGAUCGUAAAGCUCUGUUGUUAGGGAAGAACAAGUACCGUUCGAAUAGGGCGGUACCUUGACGGUACCUAACCAGAAAGCCACGGCUAACUACGUGCCAGCAGCCGCGGUAAUACGUAGGUGGCAAGCGUUGUCCGGAAUUAUUGGGCGUAAAGGGCUCGCAGGCGGUUUCUUAAGUCUGAUGUGAAAGCCCCCGGCUCAACCGGGGAGGGUCAUUGGAAACUGGGGAACUUGAGUGCAGAAGAGGAGAGUGGAAUUCCACGUGUAGCGGUGAAAUGCGUAGAGAUGUGGAGGAACACCAGUGGCGAAGGCGACUCUCUGGUCUGUAACUGACGCUGAGGAGCGAAAGCGUGGGGAGCGAACAGGAUUAGAUACCCUGGUAGUCCACGCCGUAAACGAUGAGUGCUAAGUGUUAGGGGGUUUCCGCCCCUUAGUGCUGCAGCUAACGCAUUAAGCACUCCGCCUGGGGAGUACGGUCGCAAGACUGAAACUCAAAGGAAUUGACGGGGGCCCGCACAAGCGGUGGAGCAUGUGGUUUAAUUCGAAGCAACGCGAAGAACCUUACCAGGUCUUGACAUCCUCUGGCAAUCCUAGAGAUAGGACGUCCCCUUCGGGGGCAGAGUGACAGGUGGUGCAUGGUUGUCGUCAGCUCGUGUCGUGAGAUGUUGGGUUAAGUCCCGCAACGAGCGCAACCCUUGAUCUUAGUUGCCAGCAUUCAGUUGGGCACUCUAAGGUGACUGCCGGUGACAAACCGGAGGAAGGUGGGGAUGACGUCAAAUCAUCAUGCCCCUUAUGACCUGGGCUACACACGUGCUACAAUGGACAGAACAACAGGCAGCGAAACCGCGAGGUUAAGCCAAUCCCACAAAUCUGUUCUCAGUUCGGAUCGCAGUCUGCAACUCGACUGCGUGAAGCUGGAAUCGCUAGUAAUCGCG
This 1265-nucleotide ribosomal RNA is filed under the name Bacillus spizizenii. RNAcentral describes it as "bacterial SSU rRNA". It matches the Rfam family "Bacterial small subunit ribosomal RNA", at positions 95 to 1346 of the family's 1533-position model. The record is from RNAcentral. Lineage: Bacteria; Bacillati; Bacillota; Bacilli; Caryophanales; Bacillaceae.